AACGCAGCGAAGGGCGAUAAGUAAUGUGAAUUGCAGAAUUUAGUGAAUCAUCGAAUCUUUGAACGCACAUUGCGCCCCUUGGCUAUCCAGGCAGUAUGCUUGUUUCAGUGUCUUGUUUUCUCCUCACCCAAAUCUUAAUGUGAGAGAUACCCUUCUCUUACUAAGUACGAAAGCACUCUGAGCCCUGCAGGUGUCUUAGCUUCGGCUAAGGUCACACUCAAUGCAGCAGUCACAUUUCACAAUGUGAACUCAUUGAGAGCGGAGUCAGCGCAGCUUGUCUGCAAGUGUUUAGACCCACAAACUCUUCUUGUAUCUGAAAUCAAGCAGGAUCACCCGCUGAACUUAA
Molecule: ribosomal RNA, 346 nt
Filed under: uncultured fungus
Lineage: Eukaryota; Fungi
Description: eukaryotic LSU rRNA
Rfam family: 5.8S ribosomal RNA (bases 1-113)
Source: RNAcentral